GAUGAAGAACGCAGCGAAACGCGAUAUGUAAUGUGAAUUGCAGAAUUCAGUGAAUCAUCGAAUCUUUGAACGCACAUGGCGCCUUCCAGUAUCCUGGGAGGCAUGCCUGUCCGAGCGUCGUUUCAACCCUCGAGCCCCCGUGGCCCGGCGUUGGGGAUCUGCCACGGCAGGCCCCUAAAACCAGUGGCGGACCCGAAGGCCCUCUCCUUUGCGCAGUAGCAUCAGCCUCACAUUGGGAUCCCUCGGCGUCCUGCCUCUAAACCCCCCACAAGUCCGCUCCGGCGGCACCAAGGUUGACCUCGGAUCAGGUAGGAAUACCCGCUGAACUUAAGCAUAUCAAUAAGCGGAGGA
This 351-nucleotide unclassified non-coding RNA is filed under the name soil metagenome. Its description in RNAcentral is "partial contains 5.8S ribosomal RNA, internal transcribed spacer 2, and large subunit ribosomal RNA". The stretch from base 1 to 120 matches the Rfam family "5.8S ribosomal RNA", at positions 35 to 154 of the family's 154-position model. The record is from RNAcentral.